GGAGAGGUGGCCGAGUGGCUGAAGGCGGCGGUUUGCUAAACCGUUGUACAGUGUAAAGCUGUACCGUGGGUUCGAAUCCCAUCCUCUCCGCCA
This 93-nucleotide transfer RNA is filed under the name Pseudomonas sp. Its description in RNAcentral is "tRNA-Ser". It matches the Rfam family "tRNA". From Rfam's summary of the family: Transfer RNA (tRNA) molecules are approximately 80 nucleotides in length. RNAcentral also lists the same sequence under 7 other names. Lineage: Bacteria; Pseudomonadati; Pseudomonadota; Gammaproteobacteria; Pseudomonadales; Pseudomonadaceae. The record is from RNAcentral.